RNAcentral lists this ribosomal RNA (119 nucleotides) under Dendronephthya gigantea. Lineage: Eukaryota; Metazoa; Cnidaria; Anthozoa; Malacalcyonacea; Nephtheidae. The record is from RNAcentral.
GUCUAAGUCCAUACCACUUGGAAAGCACUGGUUCUCGUCUGAUCACCAAAGUUAAAACAAGUCGGGCGAAGUUAGUACUUGGGUGGGUGACCUCUUAGGAAUACUUCGUGUCGUAGGCU